RNAcentral lists this ribosomal RNA (733 nucleotides) under uncultured bacterium. RNAcentral's name for it is "bacterial SSU rRNA". It matches the Rfam family "Bacterial small subunit ribosomal RNA", at positions 93 to 824 of the family's 1533-position model. The record is from RNAcentral.
GACCGGCGCACGGGUGCGUAACGCGUAUGCAAUCUACCUUUUACAGAGGGAUAGCCCAGAGAAAUUUGGAUUAAUACCUCAUAGUAUAAUGACUCGGCAUCGAGAUAUUAUUAAAGUCACAACGGUAAAAGAUGAGCAUGCGUCCCAUUAGCUAGUUGGUAAGGUAACGGCUUACCAAGGCUACGAUGGGUAGGGGUCCUGAGAGGGAGAUCCCCCACACUGGUACUGAGACACGGACCAGACUCCUACGGGAGGCAGCAGUGAGGAAUAUUGGACAAUGGGCGCAAGCCUGAUCCAGCCAUGCCGCGUGCAGGAUGACGGUCCUAUGGAUUGUAAACUGCUUUUAUACGAGAAGAAACACUGCUUCGUGAAGCAGCUUGACGGUAUCGUAAGAAUAAGGAUCGACUAACUCCGUGCCAGCAGCCGCGGUAAUACGGAGGAUCCAAGCGUUAUCCGGAAUCAUUGGGUUUAAAGGGUCCGUAGGCGGUUUAAUAAGUCAGUGGUGAAAGCCCAUCGCUCAACGGUGGAACGGCCAUUGAUACUGUUAAACUUGAAUUAUUAGGAAGUAACUAGAAUAUGUAGUGUAGCGGUGAAAUGCUUANAGAUUACAUGGAAUACCAAUUGCGAAGGCAGGUUACUACUAAUGGAUUGACGCUGAUGGACGAAAGCGUGGGUAGCGAACAGGAUUAGAUACCCUGGUAGUCCCCGCCGUAAACGAUGGAUACUAGCUGUU